This is a long non-coding RNA of Dama dama (fallow deer), 4132 nucleotides long. RefSeq lists it as uncharacterized. The record is from RefSeq and is a predicted model, not a curated record. The transcript has 2 exons. NCBI's taxonomy places the organism in Eukaryota, Metazoa, Chordata, Mammalia, Artiodactyla, Cervidae.
GCGUGGCUCAGUGAUAAAGAAUCUGCCUAUAAUGCAGGAGACACGGGUUCAGUCCUUAGGUGAGGAAGAUCCUCUGGAGACAGAAAUGGCAAACUGCUCCUGUAUUCUUGCCAGGGAAAUCCCAUGGACAGUGGAGCCUGGCAGGCUAGAGUUCAUGGAUUCUCAAAGAGUUGGACAUGACUCAGUGACUGAGCACGCACACGGUGUGGUGUCACUUUGGGUUGACUUAGCUUUUAGGAGGAAUCUGUAUAGAUUCCUGAAGGGCUUUCUCUGCAUGCCUCCCUCACUGUGCUCUGUCUUGCAAAACCCCUGAUGCUCAGCAGCUUGAGCUCCGGUCUCUGUCUGUUGGGGCCUUCCAGACUGCUGUGCUUCACUUAGAUUCUCCCUUCUUUCUGCAGGGAGGAGAGCAGUUAGAGGACUUACCUCACUUGAUUUCGCAGGAAUCCCAGUUCUGCUCUGUCUGUUGUCUCAAUGCCUGAAAGCAGUUGUUUCAUAUAUUUUGCCCGGCCUUAUGGUCACUCAUGGCAGAAAGGUAUAUUUUGAUGCAAAAUGCAACAUCUUCUGUGUCAUUUAAGAAGAAACAUAAGCAUCACUUUUUGAAAGAUUCAUGCUCUAAAGCAGAGAUUGGCAAAGUUUUUCCAUCAGGGGUCUGAUAACAAAUAUCUGAAACUCUGUGGGCCAUGUGGUCUCUGCUGCAGCUACUCCGUUGCAGGUCUGACAGUUAUUAUGAAAUAGUUUUGAUCCUGUCGACCUUGUGGAAGGGUCUCGGGGACCACACAGCUGGUUAUGAUCCUGAACUGGAGUGCCUGUGAGGAGGACUUAGGUGAUGGGAGAAACUCUAUACAGAGAGGAGGCCUAGAAUGACCCCCACUGGAGUGAUUGAGCAGACGCUUGUUAGGAGAGCAGUCUUCACGUGGCACCAGACCGAGGUGCUGUCCAAGGACCCAGAGAGUAGAAAAACACCCGGCAUUUAAGUAAAUUGUAUACUAACUCAGUCUCAACAGUAGAUGAAAGACUUUUUAAGAGACAGGGCCAAAAUUGUCACUUAAAUGAAGGACUUAAAGUCAGCCUGAUAUGGGCUUUAGUCCCAGUUACAGCCUUAGUUCUAUAACUUGCUCAAAGAUAGGUAAUUUUCUUUGAAUUUUGAACUUAUACUUUUUUAUCUGUGAAAUAUUUAAUUCUUGCUGAAUACGUGAGGAACAUUUGGAAGAAAAGAAUAAAAAGAUGCAUAUUUAAAUUGCCCAAGGGUUCAGUAGAUGAGAAAAUUUUGAUGGAGAGCUUUUGGAUUUUACUGCUCCAUGCUGCUUUCUGUCUGUGCCUUGCUGAAAGAAGCAGAGCAGAAAGACUGCAGUUAUUAAGGUCAGGCAGGUAACUGAAUGUCUGUUGAGCUAUGCCAAGGUACUGUGGUGAUGGUGAUGGCCAUACUGCUCUAAAGAUGAGAGCUGGAUUUGGGACAUGCAUCAAAUGUGUGCAGGUGCUAUGCUGUUUCUACAGGUGCUGUCUCACUUGGUCUGACCUGUAAUCCUGCAAAGUAAGGACUGUUGUUAUCCCCACUGUGAGCCACUGAGGCUUCGUGAAGCUGAGUACCUUCUUAAGGUCACGCAGUGACUCGGCAGUGGAAGUUGAGAUUUGAGCAUAAGCAAUUUGACUGUAGAGUUUCUGCCCUUAACCGUUACACUUUAUUGAAAAUUGACUUUGUCCUUCAAUUGGCAUUUGCAGCAGUUGGAUAAUAUUGAAGUAACAUUUAGUGAUAUUUAGCCCAGAAAGUUUUGGUUAUUUUGUUGAGGUUGACAGUAUCUGAUUUUCCUUUCUUCUCCCUCUCCCUUUUCCUCUUCUUUUCCUUCUCCCUUUGAAAUUCCAAAGUGAGGUUGCAGACUUUUUCUGAAACAGCUCAUCAGCUUUUGUCCUUUUCUGCAAGUGGAGUUUUCAACGACUUCCCUUGGACAUUUGUGCUUUUCCUGGGCCUUAGCGUCUUCUGUUUACAAAGGCAGAGUUGAGUAUGGUUGUGGAAGGAAGUAGCUGGGAUCCUUUGGGGUCAUUGUGCUGACCUUGGACUGUCUAUUUCUGGACUCAUAAUGGCAGGAAAAUCAGUUCCUUUUUGGUUAAACGAUGAUGGACAGGUUUCCUCCCCUUGCAGCCAGAGCACCCUGACUGAUAGAAGUGAUACUGUGAAUUGACUGAAUGAUAGUCAGUUUUCUUUCUUGUAUCCAGAAUUUGUAUUCCAGCUAAGAAUCAUCACCUUUUUAAACCUGAUUCCUUUUCUUUUUCACACCUUACUCCAUCCAGGCAAGAAACAGAGUUUUCACUUUGUGACGGUUACUUUAGAGUUAGUGAUGAAUAAAGAACAGUGGUCAAAGUUAAAAAAUUGCAUGGUCUUGGAAGUUUGUACUCUUCAUGAAUAACUGAAGUUUUGCAAACAUUAAGCAUUUAGCUGAGUGCGUACUUCUCAAUUUGAAUGCUUUUGGGGGUAGUAUUCUAGUUUUCCUCCUGAAAGAAGGCAUUCCUAAAUCUAAAAAUUAGAUGAAUAGAAAGAAAAAGAAGAUUAUGACUACCCAUAACCCUCUCACUCAUCAUCUAAUUUUGUGAAAAAGGAGUAAUUAUUUUACUUAAAUCCUCUAUGUUAAAUUUAUUUUCAGAAUUACUUAAUGGCUUGAGAGGCCAGCACAUACUGACGUCACAUUCUCAGGACUUAUUUUCUUAGGAAGAUCUGGAUUUUCAUUAUAUUGUAAUAAAUUUCUCUGUCUAAAGAACUGCUUCUUACAGCCAGGCCUCUAGUUAUGGGGAAGGUUUCUUUUGGGCCUUGCUCUUAUACUUUAAUCCAUAAUUAUGUUAUUGAGUAGAAGCAGUAAUUAGAAGAAAGUAAUGAUAGUGGGGUGGUGGCCAAAAGACAAUAAAAAUAAUAGUAACCAGAAGAAGCCAAUGUUUGUAUGUCUUAUAUCACUUUUGUAACUGGAGCCAAUUAUAAAAGCAAGAGAUUAUUAUAACUUAAAUAAAUGAAGACUACUGAAAAUUACGGUAUCUGCAGUGUUAAAAGUAUAAAGGUGUGGCCUACAGAAUAUUAAAAAUCCAGGUCUCUAGAAGAGCUCAGUUAUUUUGCCUGUGUCUUCAUAUUUCCCAGGUGUAGGGAAAACUGCACUGUUUCUACUCUGCUACUCACAGUGCUUCUGACACUUCUAGCUAUCAAAUGUCUGGGUCUUUUCCCCACUCUAGCAGUUUUCCAAAUCUCUGCAGCCACCAGCUGGGUGUCCUACAGUUCAGUUCGGUUCUGACACUAUACCUGGAGUUAGUGUCAGAUCUCACAAGCUAUGGACUCAGUCCUGUAAGUCUGCCCUUUGGGUUCUAUUGAUAGAAUUAGCUGGAGCAGCUCACAGAACUCAGGAAAGCAGUUUACGUCCUUGAUUGCUGAUUUAUUAUAAAAGGGUACAUCUCAGGAACAGCCAGGUGGAAGAGAUGCCAAGGGCAAGGUGAGUGGGAAAGGGCACAGACCUUCUGUGCCCUCCCCAAGCCUGCCACCCUCCCAGCACCUCUGUGUGUUUACCAACCCAGAAGCUCUCUGAACCCCACCCUUUUGGGUUUUUAUGGAGGCUCCACUACAUACCCAACAAAGGCCUGUAGAGUCAAAUGCUAUGGUUUUUCCAGUAGUCAUGUACAUAUGUGAGAGUUGGACCAUAAAGAAGGCUGAGCACUGAAGAACUGAUGCUUUUGAACUGUGGUGCUGGAGAAGACUCUUGAGAGUCCCUUGGAUUGCAAGGAGAUCCAACCAGUCAAUCCUAAAGGAAAUCAAUCCCGAAUAUUCAUUGGAAGGACUGAUGCUGAAGCUGAAGCACCAAUACUUUGGUCACCAGAUGCAAAGAACCGACUCACUGAAAAAAAAUCCUGGUCCUGGGAAGGAUUGAAGGCGAGAGAAAAAGAGCGCAGCAGAGGAUGAGAUGGUUAGAUAGUAUCACUAACUCAGUGGACAUGAAUUUGAGUAAACUCUGGGGGCAGCAUACUUUGAUCACUGGUAUAGUCACUUCAUCUGUUAUCUGUCUGUCCCGUAUGGAAGCCUUUUCCUCAGCUGGUAAAACUCCAUGUACUGUUAACUUGUGUCCUGGAGAUACAUAUGAGAUACUAUUAAAUGUAUCGUCACCAU